AAGGAAUAUUGGACAAUGGUCGCAAGACUGAUCCAGCCAUGCCGCGUGCAGGAAGACGGCCCUAUGGGUUGUAAACUGCUUUUGUACCAGAGAAAACCUAUCUACGUGUAGAUAGCUGAUAGUAUGGUAAGAAUAAGCAUCGGCUAACUUCGUGCCAGCAGCCGCGGUAAGACGAAGGAUGCAAGCGUUAUCCGGAUUCAUUGGGUUUAAAGGGUGCGUAGGCGGGCUUGUAAGUCAGUGGUGAAAUCUCUCAGCUUAACUGAGAAACUGCCAUUGAUACUGCAGGCCUAGAGUAUAGAUGACGUCUGCGGAAUAUGACAUGUAGUGGUGAAAUACUUAGAUAUGUCAUAGAACACCGAUUGCGAAGGCAGCUAACGAAACUAUAACUGACGCUGAGGCACGAAAGUGC
This 409-nucleotide ribosomal RNA is filed under the name uncultured bacterium. Its description in RNAcentral is "bacterial SSU rRNA". It matches the Rfam family "Bacterial small subunit ribosomal RNA", at positions 356 to 762 of the family's 1533-position model. The record is from RNAcentral.